Molecule: small RNA, 113 nt
Filed under: Neobacillus thermocopriae
Lineage: Bacteria; Bacillati; Bacillota; Bacilli; Caryophanales; Bacillaceae
Description: RNA Staph. aureus E (RoxS)
Rfam family: RNA Staph. aureus E (RoxS)
About the family: It was shown to be regulated by the presence of nitric oxide (NO). In Bacillus subtilis it controls expression of genes with functions related to oxidative stress and oxidation-reduction reactions and it was renamed RoxS (for related to oxidative stress).
Source: Rfam by way of RNAcentral
GUGAAGUUGAUCACAACAAACAUAUACCCCUUUGUUUGACCGUGAAAAAUUUCUCCCAUCCCCUUUGUUCGUAUUUAAAAAAAUGCCUUGCAGUUAUACUGCAAGGCAUUUUU